Molecule: ribosomal RNA, 484 nt
Filed under: uncultured bacterium
Lineage: Bacteria
Description: partial 16S ribosomal RNA
Rfam family: Bacterial small subunit ribosomal RNA
Source: RNAcentral
AUUGAACGCUGGUGGCAGGCCUAACACAUGCAAGUCGAGCGGAUGAAGGGAGCUUGCUCCUGGAUUCAGCGGCGGACGGGUGAGUAAUGCCUAGGAAUCUGCCUGGUAGUGGGGGAUAACGUCCGGAAACGGGCGCUAAUACCGCAUACGUCCUGAGGGAGAAAGUGGGGGAUCUUCGGACCUCACGCUAUCAGAUGAGCCUAGGUCGGAUUAGCCAGUUGGUGGGGUAAAGGCCUACCAAGGCGACGAUCCGUAACUGGUCUGAGAGGAUGAUCAGUCACACUGGAACUGAGACACGGUCCAGACUCCUACGGGAGGCAGCAGUGGGGAAUAUUGGACAAUGGGCGAAAGCCUGAUCCAGCCAUGCCGCGUGUGUGAAGAAGGUCUUCGGAUUGUAAAGCACUUUAAGUUGGGAGGAAGGGCAGUAAGUUAAUACCUUGCUGUUUUGACGUUACCAACAGAAUAAGCACCGGCUAACUUCGUG